RNAcentral lists this ribosomal RNA (820 nucleotides) under uncultured methanogenic archaeon. RNAcentral describes it as "bacterial SSU rRNA". It matches the Rfam family "Archaeal small subunit ribosomal RNA", at positions 136 to 936 of the family's 1478-position model. The record is from RNAcentral. Lineage: Archaea; Methanobacteriati; Methanobacteriota.
GAAACAUGGGUCUACUCCUCGAUAGGUGAAGAAGUCAGGACUGAGUCUCCGCUAAAAAGACACUUUCGCUAUCCUGGCAGGUGCCGCCCAGGUAUGGGGCCGCGACAGAUCAGGUUGUUGGUGAGGUAAUGCCUCAUCAAGCUUUUUACCAGUGCGGACUGUGGGAGCGGGAGCUCGGAGAUGGUCACCGAGACAAGGUCCCAGGCCCUAGGGGGCGCAGCAGUCGAGAAAAUUUUGCAAUAAGCGAAAGCUUGACAGGGCUAUCAUUUCACCCCAUCCGCUGAGGAAGGCUUUUACCCAGUCUAGAACGCUGGGAGAAUAAGUACAGGGCAAGUCAGGUGUCAGCCGCGGGGGUAAUACCAGCUCUCCGAGUGGUGUGGAUGUUUAUUGGGCGUAAAGCAUCCGUAGCUGGCCAGGUUAGUCCCCUGUUAAAUCCACCGAAUUAAUCGUUGGAUUGCCGGGGGAUACUACUUGGCUAGGGGACGAGGGAGGCAGACGGUAUUUCCGGGGUAGGGGUGAAAUCCUAUAAUCCCGGGAGGACCACCAGUGGCGAAGGUUGUCUGCUAGAACGCGCCCGACGGUGAGGGAUGAAAGCUGGGGGAGCGAACCGGAUUAGAUACCCGGGUAGUCCCAGCUGUAAACGAUGCAGACUAGGUGUUUGGACGGCCACGUGCCGUUCUAGUGCCGCAGGGAAGCUGUUAAGUCUGCCGCCUGGGGAGUACGAUCGCAAGAUUGAAACUUAAAGGAAUUGGCGGGGGAGCACCACAAGGGGUGAAGCCUGCGGUUUAAUUGGACUCAACGCCGGGAAUCACUAGUGAAU